This is a long non-coding RNA of Salvia miltiorrhiza (redroot sage), 329 nucleotides long. RefSeq lists it as uncharacterized. Lineage: Eukaryota; Viridiplantae; Streptophyta; Magnoliopsida; Lamiales; Lamiaceae. The transcript has 3 exons. The record is from RefSeq and is a predicted model, not a curated record.
UGACAAAUAUACUUAACCGUUCUUACGAGUAAGGGUUUCAAAUUCAUUAUUGCGAUCGAAAAAAUCCAAGGAGUUCAAUUCAUCCACCGACUGCAUUAAGUUAUGGAAUCGUCUCAUGGCAAUGAGGUUAUUGUACCAGAUACAACAAGUGAUUCCUCUAUGUCACCAGAAAAGAAAAGAAAGAAGGUGGUUUCUAAUCAGCAGUCCAGGAUGUUGAAAGGUGGUAUGUUUAGAUAUAAUUUUUUUUCAAUUUAAUAAACAUGUCUUCUAUACUCGGUUGUAAUUAUUGUAUGUUAUAUAUAUCAAUAGGUAAACAACAAGUUUCUUUC